RNAcentral lists this ribosomal RNA (468 nucleotides) under uncultured bacterium. RNAcentral's name for it is "partial 16S ribosomal RNA". It matches the Rfam family "Bacterial small subunit ribosomal RNA", at positions 28 to 507 of the family's 1533-position model. The record is from RNAcentral.
GACGAACGCUGGCGGCGUGCUUAACACAUGCAAGUCGAGCGGAAAGGCCCUGCUUUUGUGGGGUGCUCGAGUGGCGAACGGGUGAGUAACACGUGAGUAACCUGCCCUUGACUUUGGGAUAACUUCAGGAAACUGGGGCUAAUACCGGAUAGGAGCUCCUGCUGCAUGGUGGGGGUUGGAAAGUUUCGGCGGUUGGGGAUGGACUCGCGGCUUAUCAGCUUGUUGGUGGGGUAGUGGCUUACCACGGCUUUGACGGGUAGCCGGCCUGCGAGGGUGACCGGCCACAUUGGGACUGAGAUACGGCCCAGACUCCUACGGGAGGCAGCAGUGGGGAAUAUUGCACAAUGGUCGGAAGCCUGAUGCAGCAACGCCGCGUGCGGGAUGACGGCCUUCGGGUUGUAAACCGCUUUCGCCUGUGACGAAGCGUGAGUGACGGUAAUGGGUAAAGAAGCACCGGCUAACUACGUG